AGCGAACGCUGGCGGCGUGCCUAACACGUGCAAGUCGAACGUGAAAAGGGAAACCUGAGUAAAGUGGCGUACGGGUGAGUAACGCGUAGGUAAUCUACCCCAGAAUCUGGAAUAACCUGCCGAAAGGCGGGCUAAUACUGGAUAGAGCGAGGGAACUCGUAAGAGAGUUUUUCGGGAAAGGGAGCCCGCAAGGGCCUUCGUUCUGGGAUGAGCCUGCGUCUCAUUAGCUAGUUGGUAAGGUAACGGCUUACCAAGGCGAUGAUGAGUAGCUGGUCUGAGAGGAUGAUCAGCCACACUGGAACUGAAACACGGUCCAGACACCUACGGGAGGCAGCAGUGGGGAAUCUUGCGCAAUGGACGAAAGUCUGACGCAGCCACGCCGCGUGAGUGAAGAAGGCCUUCGGGUUGUAAAGCUCUGUCGGAUGGGACGAACAUCUUCAUAGUGAAUAGCUAUGAGGACUGACGGUACCAUCAAAGGAAGCACCGGCUAACUCCGUG
RNAcentral lists this ribosomal RNA (498 nucleotides) under uncultured bacterium. Its description in RNAcentral is "partial 16S ribosomal RNA". It matches the Rfam family "Bacterial small subunit ribosomal RNA", at positions 29 to 507 of the family's 1533-position model. The record is from RNAcentral.